AUACGGAGGAUGCAAGCGUUAUCCGGAUUUAUUGGGUUUAAAGGGUGCGUAGGCGGUUUGCUAAGCGGGAGGUGAAAUGCCGCCGCUCAACGUCGGAAGUGCCUCCCGAACUGGUGGACUUGAAUGACUCUGCCGUGGGAGGAAUGUGUAGUGUAGCGGUGAAAUGCUUAGAGAUUACACAGAACACCGAUUGCGAAGGCAUCUCACGAAGGGGUGAUUGACGCUGAGGCACGAAAGCGUGGGGAUCAAACAGGAUUAGAUACCCUGGUAGUCCACGCAGUAAACGAUGAUGGCUAACCGCUGGGCUUAUCAGUUCAGUGGCCAAGCGAAAGCGAUAAGCCAUCCACCUGGGGAGUACGACCGCAAGGUUGAAACUCAAAUGAAUUGACGGGG
RNAcentral lists this ribosomal RNA (393 nucleotides) under uncultured bacterium. RNAcentral describes it as "partial 16S ribosomal RNA". It matches the Rfam family "Bacterial small subunit ribosomal RNA", at positions 523 to 918 of the family's 1533-position model. The record is from RNAcentral.